Molecule: long non-coding RNA, 994 nt
Filed under: Homo sapiens (human)
Lineage: Eukaryota; Metazoa; Chordata; Mammalia; Primates; Hominidae
Description: HSALNT0235314
Source: RNAcentral
AUCGCGGGCCGUAAGUGGCUGUGGAGCUGGGGUCACUGCGCGGUGGGACCAUGGCCUCGGAGAAGCCGCUGGCGGCAGUCACUUGUACAGCGCCGGUCAACAUCGCGGUCAUCAAGUACUAGAUGGGGUUUCACCGUGUUAGCCAGGCUGGUCUGAAGCUCCUGACCUCGUGAUCUGCCCACCUCAGCCUCCCAAAGUGCUGGGAUUACAGACUGUCACUGCGACACCCAGGCUGGAGUGCAAUGGCGUGAUCUCGGCUCACUGCAACCUCCGCUUCCCGGGUUCAACCGAUUCUCCUGCCUCAGCCUCUCGAGUAGCUGGGACUACAGGGGGCAAGCGCGAUGAAGAGCUGGUUCUGCCCAUCAACUCCUCCCUGAGCGUCACUCUGCACCAGGACCAGUUAAAAACCACCACAACAGCCGUCAUCAGCAAGGACUUCACCGAGGACCGGAUUUGGCUGAAUGGCCGGGAGGAGGAUGUGGGGCAGCCGCGGCUGCAGGCCUGCCUGCGGGAGAGUGAGCUGGGGUCCCCAUAAGCCCAUCCCUCCCUGUUGUCAGCAGGGUCCGAGCAUCCAGAAAGUGCUUCUGCCUCUGUGCCCCUCCUGAGGCAGCAGGCGGGGUGGCUGGGAACCAGACAUGCCCGCUGGGCCGCCAGCUCCAGGGCAGUGGCCCACCUCAAUGACCAGCUGGGCUUGGGUCAGUCUGGGGUUUUCCCGGGUAAGAAACUCUCCACGAGGAGUCUGGCAGGCAGAGGCCUGGUGUUCAGCUGUGACCCCGGGCAGGUGGGCAGGAGCAGGGCGGGCAGGGUGCUGACGGCUGGGCCACACGCUGUCUCAUUGUCUCUGCAGUCCGCUGCCUGGCCCGGAAGCGGAGGAACUCACGGGAUGGGGACCCGCUGCCCUCCAGCCUCAGCUGCAAGGUGCACGUGGCAUCGGUGAACAACUUCCCCACGGCUGCGGGCCUGGCCUCCUCAGCGGCGGGCUAUGCCUGCCUAG